UCAUAAUCAUAAAUUAAUAAAAAAAAUACAGCUGUUAUGUAAUUAAUAAAUAAAUAAAAAUAAAAAAUAAUUAAUAGGUUCUCUCUCUUGAAACCCUAUUAUCAUUUUGCUAAAAAAGAGGAGCUAAAUAUACGCUAUCUCUCUUUCUUCCCCCUCUCAUUGCUGCUCUUUCUUCUUCUUGCGCAGGGUGACCAUUCAAUGGUGUGGGGUUAGAUUUUCUUGACUCUUCGAGCUCCAAUGGUAAUGGCUGAUUUCUCUAAGUAAAGAGGCAAUGGUGGUUUUUUAAUUCUCUUUGUUCAUGCUUCGCAACAUAUACCUUGGAGUUUCAUAUCGUUUUCUCUGUCGAAUAAGUCGCUGAGAUCGAUUUCCUCAAGCGCCCAAUCUAUUUCGAAAUCAACAUGGUUUUCUUAGCAGAUUCAAAAUUAACACCCAUAUUCGAAAUCAAUUUCCUCACCUAACCUGUUUGAAGACCCAUUUUCCUUUUCAAUCUUUCGUUCCCCAUCUCCCGAAACUCCAUUCGGCCGGUCAUCGUCUCCGCUUCGUCUCUCCAAUGCAGGUCUUUACAAUUGCAUUUUAAUAGAGUGGUCUUGAAUUCAGACUUCCCAAGCAAAGGUGGUAUUUCAAUUGUGUGAUACAUAUUUUCCAUUUGGCAAGAGGAUGCUAGAGCCAAGGCAGCAGCUAGUUUGUUGUAUUUAUGUUUGUAAAUUCUUUUUCCUAGUUUGUUAAUGUUGAUUUUAGGUGAAAAAAUGGUGGAUCAAAAUUGUUGGUAAAUCAUUUGCACUAUGUUUGUUUUUGUAAUUUCAAAUAGUGUAAUUUGGAUCUUGUGUAAGUUUUGAAUUUGUCUUUAAUUAAUUUUGAUUAAAGUUUUUAAUUUAUUUUAUUUACUGUA
This is a long non-coding RNA of Cannabis sativa, 889 nucleotides long. RefSeq lists it as uncharacterized. The record is from RefSeq and is a predicted model, not a curated record. Lineage: Eukaryota; Viridiplantae; Streptophyta; Magnoliopsida; Rosales; Cannabaceae. The transcript is spliced from 2 exons.